RNAcentral lists this ribosomal RNA (136 nucleotides) under Cerrena caperata. Its description in RNAcentral is "Coriolopsis caperata partial 28S ribosomal RNA". It matches the Rfam family "Eukaryotic large subunit ribosomal RNA", at positions 1 to 135 of the family's 3401-position model. Lineage: Eukaryota; Fungi; Basidiomycota; Agaricomycetes; Polyporales; Cerrenaceae. The record is from RNAcentral.
CUGACCUCAAAUCAGGUAGGACUACCCGCUGAACUUAAGCAUAUCAAUAAGCGGAGGAAAAGAAACUAACAAGGAUUCCCCUAGUAACUGCGAGUGAAGCGGGAAAAGCUCAAAUUUAAAAUCUGGCGGUCUUUGG